Molecule: ribosomal RNA, 468 nt
Filed under: uncultured bacterium
Lineage: Bacteria
Description: partial 16S ribosomal RNA
Rfam family: Bacterial small subunit ribosomal RNA
Source: RNAcentral
GACGAACGCUGGCGGCGUGCUUAACACAUGCAAGUCGAACGGAAAGGCCCUGCUUUUGUGGGUUGCUCGAGUGGCGAACGGGUGAGUAACACGCGAGUAACCUGCCCUUGACUUUGGGAGAACUUCAGGAAACUGGGGCUCAUACCGGAUAGGAGCUCCUGCUGCACGGUGGGGGUUGGAAAGUUUCGGCGGUUGGGGAUGGACUCGCGGCUUAUCAGCCUGUUGGUGGGGUAGUGGCUUACCAAGGCUUUGACGGCUAGCCGGCCUGAGAGGGUGGCCGGCCACAUUGGGACUGAGAGACGGACCAGACUGCUACGUGAGGCAGCAGGGGAGAAUAUUGCACAAUGGGCGGAAGCCUGAUGCAGCAACGCCGCGUGCGGGAUGACGGCCUUCGGGUUGUAAACCGCUUUCGCCUGUGACGAAGCGUGAGUGACGGUAAUGGGUAAAGAAGCACCGGCUAACUACGUG